AGCAGCCGCGGUAAUUCCAGCUCCAAUAGCGUAUAUUAAAGUUGUUGCAGUUAAAAAGCUCGUAGUUGAAUUUCGGGGUCAGUAGGCUGGUCGUGCCACAGGUAUGUACUGGUCUCACUGAUUCCUCCUUCCUGAUGAACCGUAAUGCCAUUAAUUUGGUGUUGCGGGGAAUCUGGACUGUUACUUUGAAAAAUUAGAGUGUUUAAAGCAGGCUAACGCUUGAAUACAUUAGCAUGGAAUAAUGAAAUAGGACGAUCGAUCCUAUUUUGUUGGUUUCUAGGAUUGACGUAAUGAUUAAUAGGGAUAGUUGGGGGCAUUAGUAUUCAAUUGUCAGAGGUGAAAUUCUUGGAUUUAUUGUAGACUAACUACUGCGAAAGCAUUUGCCAAGGAUGUUUUCAUUAAUCAAGAACGAAAGUUAGGGGAUCGAAGACGAUCAGAUACCGUCGUAGUCUUAACCAUAAACUAUGCCGACUAGGAUCGGAUGAUGUUAAUUUUUAAUGACUCA
Molecule: ribosomal RNA, 505 nt
Filed under: uncultured Glomeraceae
Lineage: Eukaryota; Fungi; Glomeromycota; Glomeromycetes; Glomerales; Glomeraceae
Description: SSU rRNA
Rfam family: Eukaryotic small subunit ribosomal RNA
Source: RNAcentral